UAGGGAAUCUUCGGCAAUGGACGAAAGUCUGACCGAGCAACGCCGCGUGAGUGAAGAAGGUUUUCGGAUCGUAAAACUCUGUUGUUAGAGAAGAACAAGGACGUUAGUAACUGAACGUCCCCUGACGGUAUCUAACCAGAAAGCCACGGCUAACUACGUGCCAGCAGCCGCGGUAAUACGUAGGUGGCAAGCGUUGUCCGGAUUUAUUGGGCGUAAAGCGAGCGCAGGCGGUUUCUUAAGUCUGAUGUGAAAGCCCCCGGCUCAACCGGGGAGGGUCAUUGGAAACUGGGAGACUUGAGUGCAGAAGAGGAGAGUGGAAUUCCAUGUGUAGCGGGGAAAUGCGUAGAUAUAUGGAGGAACACCAGUGGCGAAGGCGGCUCUCUGGACUGUAACUGACGCUGAGGCUCGAAAGCGUGGGGAGCAAACAGG
This 429-nucleotide ribosomal RNA is filed under the name Gemmatimonadota bacterium. RNAcentral describes it as "Gemmatimonadetes bacterium partial 16S ribosomal RNA". It matches the Rfam family "Bacterial small subunit ribosomal RNA", at positions 355 to 776 of the family's 1533-position model. The record is from RNAcentral. Lineage: Bacteria; Pseudomonadati; Gemmatimonadota.